AGUCACAAGAGGCCCUGAGCUCUGUGGGCCCCAGGUGCCCCGGGAAAACUUGGGGGAGAAUGGGCAUCCCACCCCAGCACUUUCUAGGAAGAAGGGCAGCAUUUUGAAGGGCUGGAAGUAGAGGAAGGAGGUUGCGGGUAGAAGACUCCAUACUUUCUGUGACGCCUAUUCCUUAGGUAGGAACUUAGGAACCUCAGGAGAGCCUUUAUAUAACCAAAGAUAUUUUUGGACCAUGAAUUCAGAAAUUCUCGGAGCCACCCAUCAGUGCCUGAGCUUCAGUGAGUCCAUAUCCCAUGUCACCCACGGCAAAGGAGACUCUAAGACUUCUGAAGAGUUUCUUGCUUCUUUCCUGUGGGGCAGUGACUCCACUUCCCAGCAGUAAUGGAAUAUCCUGAAUUAGCUACAUUAAUGUUAGAACCAUUUGGACCUCACCCAGGACUUCAACUACAUUAUGCUAAAGUUACAGAACCCAAAUUUGGCAACUGUCUGCAUCUGAACAACAGAAGUUUCAACAUUCUGCCAACAGAGUAACUCCUGGACGAUUGGCACAGAAGAAGGCACAAGGCAAAUACCCAUCUCUGUACACCCUGUGCUACUGUGUCAUGUGCUGCUCCAGGCAACUCCAAUGGAUUGGCCACCCUGGCCAAUGUGUUCUAGUAUGUUACGUUUAUGUUCCCCUGCUUUCUACAAUCCUGUUCAAAGAGUUGCUGACUUA
Molecule: long non-coding RNA, 715 nt
Filed under: Homo sapiens (human)
Lineage: Eukaryota; Metazoa; Chordata; Mammalia; Primates; Hominidae
Description: STARD13 antisense RNA
Source: RNAcentral